RNAcentral lists this transfer RNA (66 nucleotides) under Doratura stylata. RNAcentral's name for it is "tRNA-Leu". The record is from RNAcentral. Lineage: Eukaryota; Metazoa; Arthropoda; Insecta; Hemiptera; Cicadellidae.
AUCAGUAUGGCAGAUUAGUGCAAUGAACUUAAGAUUCAUAUAUAAAUUCUUAUUAUUUUGCUGAAA